This is a non-coding RNA of Felis catus (domestic cat), 85 nucleotides long. NCBI's taxonomy places the organism in Eukaryota, Metazoa, Chordata, Mammalia, Carnivora, Felidae. The record is from Rfam.
GCCUGGGUGGCUCAGUCGGUUGAGCGUCCGACUUUGGCUCAGGUCAUGAUCUCACGGUCCGUGAGUUCGAGCCCCACGUCGGGCU